RNAcentral lists this transfer RNA (73 nucleotides) under Oligoflexales bacterium. RNAcentral's name for it is "tRNA-Pro". It matches the Rfam family "tRNA". From Rfam's summary of the family: Transfer RNA (tRNA) molecules are approximately 80 nucleotides in length. Lineage: Bacteria; Pseudomonadati; Bdellovibrionota; Oligoflexia; Oligoflexales. The record is from RNAcentral.
CGGGGCGUAGCGCAGUUGGUAGCGCGCGUGCUUUGGGAGCAUGAGGUCGCUAGUUCGAAUCUAGUCGCCCCGA